Molecule: ribosomal RNA, 447 nt
Filed under: uncultured bacterium
Lineage: Bacteria
Description: bacterial SSU rRNA
Rfam family: Bacterial small subunit ribosomal RNA
Source: RNAcentral
CCCAGACUCCUACGGGAGGCAGCAGUGGGGGAUAUUGCACAAUGGGGGGAACCCUGAUGCAGCGACGCCGCGUGGGUGAAGAAGUAUUUCGGUAUGUAAAGCCCUAUCGGCAGGGAAGAAAUUGGACGGUACCUGACUAAGAAGCCCUGGCUAACUACGUGCCAGCAGCCGCGGUAAUACGUAGGGGGCAAGCGUUAUCCGGAUUCACUGGGUGUAAAGGGAGCGUAGACGGCCAUGCAAGCCUGGAGUGAAAGCCCGGGGCCCAACCCCGGGACUGCUCUGGGAACUGUGCGGCUGGAGUGCGGGAGGGGCAGGCGGAAUUCCUGGUGUAGCGGUGAAAUGCGUAGAUAUCAGGAGGAACACCGGCGGCGAAGGCGGCCUGCUGGACCGCGACUGACGUUGAGGCUCGAAAGCGUGGGGAGCAAACAGGAUUAGAUACCCCCGUAU